UAGAUACCCUCGGUGCCGGAGUUAACCCGGUAAGUAUCCCGCCUGGGGACUACGGUCGCAAGGCUAGAACUCAAAGGAAUUGGCGGGGGCCCGCACAAGCAGCGGAGCGUGUGGUUUAAUUCGAUGCAACGCGAAGAACCUUACCAGGGCUUGACAUGCAAGUAGUAGUGAAGCGAAAGCGGAACGAUCCUUCGGGAACGCUUGCACAGGUGCUGCAUGGCUGUCGUCAGCUCGUGCCAUGAGGUGUUAGGUUAAGUCCUGUAACGAGCGCAACCAUUGCCGUUAGUUACAAGUCUCUAACGGGACUGCCCGGCUCAACUGGGACCAAGGUGGGCAUGACGUCAAGUCAGCAUGGCCUUUAUGUCCUGGGCUACACACACGCUACAAUGGCCGGUACAAUGGGUAGCCAAGCCGUGAGGCGGAGCCAAUCCUGUAAAGCCGGUCUCAGUUCGGAUUGCAGGCUGCAACUCGCAUGCAUGAAGUCGGAGUUGCUAGUAACCGCAGGUCAGCCACCCUCUCGGUGAUACGUUCCCGGGCAUUGACACACCGCCCGUCACGUCAUGGGAGCUGUAACACCUGAAGCCG
RNAcentral lists this ribosomal RNA (585 nucleotides) under uncultured organism. RNAcentral describes it as "bacterial SSU rRNA". It matches the Rfam family "Bacterial small subunit ribosomal RNA", at positions 831 to 1429 of the family's 1533-position model. The record is from RNAcentral.